Otolemur garnettii (small-eared galago) is the source of this 126-nucleotide small nucleolar RNA. The record is from Ensembl. NCBI's taxonomy places the organism in Eukaryota, Metazoa, Chordata, Mammalia, Primates, Galagidae.
AUGGUGAGAUAGUUCUGUAAAAAGUUAAGAAUAGAACUACCUAUAACACACCCAACAGGAAUCUGGGAUCAUUGUGAUGAGGGGCACAAAACUUGUGGCCUCCCUAUGAACAAAUUCCCUACAUGU